This is a long non-coding RNA of Rhododendron vialii, 2190 nucleotides long. RefSeq lists it as uncharacterized. NCBI's taxonomy places the organism in Eukaryota, Viridiplantae, Streptophyta, Magnoliopsida, Ericales, Ericaceae. The transcript has 2 exons. The record is from RefSeq and is a predicted model, not a curated record.
UCAGGCUGUCAAUUUACAUGGUCUAAUAAGUAGAGUCCUGGUGCUACAAUCUCCACUAAGUUAGACAGGGUUCUCUAGUUAAUGAAAACUGGAUCAUAUCUUUCUGUUGAUCCAAUGCUCAUUUUCUAUCCCCUGGUGUGUCUGAUCACUCUCCUGCAGUUGUUUACCUUACUCCUGCCCCUAAAACUGCUAAGAAGCCUUUUAGAUUUUCAAUUGCAGACCAUUCCCAAUUCCUACCAAUUGUCCAGCAGGUUUGGAGGAGGAUUGUGAUAGGGAAUCAAAUGAAGUGUUUGCGAAAAGCUCAAGUUACUACAAAUUGAGUUCAAAAAGUUAAACACUAGCAAUUUCAGUGACAUAUUUGGCAAGUAUUGGAAGCUAGUUUAUCAAAAAAAGUAUUGGAAGCUAGAAAGGAGCUGGAAAGUGUUCAAACUAAGCUUGGAACUGAUCCUGGUUUGGUCCCUAAAUUCCCCAAUCCUUCCAAGGUUGGGGAUUUCAGACCUAUUUCUUGUUGCAAUUCCAUCUACAAAUGCAUUGCAAAAAUUUUGGCCAAUAGACUGCAAGUCUUUCUUCCACACCUCAUUGACCCUGUCCAAUCUGGAUUUGUUAAGGGCAGAAGGAUUGCAGAUAAUAUCUCUCACCCUGGAAUUGAUGAGGGGGUUCUCCCGAACAACGCUGAACAAUAUUAAGCACAUGCAAGGCGCAAGGGGUGUCACGUAAUACAAACCCCCACCGAUCAGAGUGUUGGUCGGUGGACCCUUAAAGCAAGGGUAUGUAGGAACUGCCAAACAAAUGUGUUCGGCAAGUUGUUUGUUCCCGAACAAGGAGCAAACCCAUAUGUCAAACCGCUCUAAGCGACAAAGCAGCUAGAGUAUUCUGGAAUAUCCCAUAAUACAUGCAUUCCAUGAUAGAAUGUGAUCCUGUGAAUAAAGGAUCUGAUAGAGUUUCCCAAUGAGGAAGGGAAUUCAGCUUGAUAUCGGAAGAGAGUCCCAUAGGGACUGGUUCUGUACGGGAUAGGAAACCUAGGGCAACAAGGAUGCUUGGGGGGCAAGCAUAUCUAAACCUAUAAAUACAAGGUAAAACCUGAGUGGAAAGCUACACUGUCAUUACUUACUUACAUAUGUAAUAUUAGGGUUUUCGGUAUACGAAUUACUUAGGCAUCGGAGGACCUUUGCCGACGAGAGGCAAAGUGCGCUCACCAGUGUCUGUUUUGCAGUCUAGGGUUCCGGCAAGGAAUCAUGUGAGGUUGAUCAAAGAAAAAUAAAUUUUCCCCUUACAGGUAUCACAAGAAUUCCUCUUGUCCCAGGUGUGCCAUGAAAGUGGACAUCAUGAAGGCCUAUGACAAUGUUCGAUGGGAAUUCCUUUGGGAUGUCCUUGGUUCUAUGAAUAUUCACCCUCAAUUAUACAAUGGCUUCAAGCAUUUGUCUCUACUGCCAACUAUUCUAUGAGUAUCAAUGGGGAGGUCACUGGGUUUAUCCCUGGUAAGAGAGGCUUGAGGCAAGGAGACCCAUUGUCCUCCUAUAUUUUUGUCAUAGUUAUGGAGGUCUUAACUUAAAACCCUCCUCCCUGAUUUUCAAUUUCAUUGGAAGUGUGGGUUGAACAGGUUGGUUAAUCUGUGCUUUGCAGAUGAUCUUAUGAUCUUUUGCAAGGGGGAAGUAAGCUCCAUUACUCACUUUCAAUCUUCUUUGAGCCCUGGGGAGAGCAACUUUUUCUUCUCUAGGGUUAAUCAUACUUCCAAGUGUGCUAUUCUGGACAUCCUAGGAUUUAAGGAAGGCUCUUUACCAGUUAGAUACCUUGUUGUUCCUCUUCUAUCCACCAAAUUCAAACACUCUGACUGCAAAACUAUGGUGGAUAGAAUUGUGAUCAAAACUAAAUCUUGGACCAAUAGAUACCUCUCCUACGCUGGUAGGAUUCAGUUAAUAAAGUCCAUUUUGUUCUUGAUGCAAACGUACUGGUCCUCACUCUUUAUAAUUCCUAUAAGGGUUGUCAAAGAAAUAAAAACGAUCCUUAGAUCUUUCUUCUGGUCUGGUCCAGAUCUUAAAAAAUCUGGGGCCAACUCAAGCCCAAUGAAGAGGGGAAGAAUAAUGCACGUGCAUGUGUGUGAGAGAGGGAGAGAGAGAGAGAGAGAGAGAGAGAGAGAGAGAGAGAGAGAGAGAGAGGCAAUAGUGUCGGGCUCGAUUCCAAAACUGGAAA